RNAcentral lists this ribosomal RNA (459 nucleotides) under uncultured bacterium. Its description in RNAcentral is "partial 16S ribosomal RNA". It matches the Rfam family "Bacterial small subunit ribosomal RNA", at positions 338 to 795 of the family's 1533-position model. The record is from RNAcentral.
CCUACGGGUGGCAGCAGUGAGGAAUAUUGGUCAAUGGCCGGAAGGCUGAACCAGCCAAGCCGCGUGAGGGACGACUGCCCUAUGAGUUGUAAACCUCUUUUAUAAGGGAAGAAGAAAUGCUACGUGUAUCAUGAUGCCUGUACCUUAUCAAUAAGGAUCGGCUAACUCCGUGCCAGCAGCCGCGGUAAUACGGAGGAUGCGAGCGUUAUCCGGUUUUAUUGGGUUUAAGGGGUGCGUAGGCGGUUUUUUAAGUUAGUGGUUAAAGGUCGGGGCUUAACCUUGAAUUGCCAUUAAUAAUGUACGACUAGAGUGCAGAUGAGGUAGGCGGAAUAUGUUGUGUAGCGGUGAAAUGCUUAGAGAUAACACAGAACACCGAUUGCGAAGGCAGCUUACUAAACUGUGACUGACGUUGAUGCUCGAAAGUGUGGGGAUCAAACAGGAUUAGAUACCCCAGUAGUC